GACGAACGCUGGCGGCGUGCUUAACACAUGCAAGUCGAACGGAAAGGCCCUGCUUUUGUGGGGUGCUCGAGUGGCGAACGGGUGAGUAACACGUGAGUAACCUGCCCUUGACUUUGGGAUAACUUCAGGAAACUGGGGCUAAUACCGGAUAGGAGCUCCUGCUGCAUGGUGGGGGUUGGAAAGUUUCGGCGGUUGGGGAUGGACUCGCGGCUUACCAGCUUGUUGGUGGGGUAGUGGCUUACCAAGGCUUUGACGGGUAGCCGGCCUGAGAGGGUGACCGGCCACAUUGGGACUGAGAUACGGCCCAGACUCCUACGGGAGGCAGCAGUGGGGAAUAUUGCACAAUGGGUGGAAGCCUGAUGCAGCAACGCCGCGUGCGGGAUGACGGCCUUCGGGUUGUAAACCGCUUUCGCCUGUGACGAAGCGUGAGUGACGGUAAUGGGGAAAGAAGCACCGGCUAACUACGU
RNAcentral lists this ribosomal RNA (467 nucleotides) under uncultured bacterium. Its description in RNAcentral is "partial 16S ribosomal RNA". It matches the Rfam family "Bacterial small subunit ribosomal RNA", at positions 28 to 506 of the family's 1533-position model. The record is from RNAcentral.